This 465-nucleotide ribosomal RNA is filed under the name uncultured bacterium. RNAcentral describes it as "partial 16S ribosomal RNA". It matches the Rfam family "Bacterial small subunit ribosomal RNA", at positions 339 to 795 of the family's 1533-position model. The record is from RNAcentral.
CUACGGGUGGCACCAGUGGGGAAUCUUCCGCAAUGGGCGCAAGCCUGACGGAGCAACGCCGCGUGAGUGAAGAAGGCCUUCGGGUCGUAAAGCUCUGUCUUUAGGGAAGAAAAACUAUGGUGAAAAUAUUGCCAUAGUCUGACGGUACCUGAGGAGGAAGCUCCGGCUAACUACGUGCCAGCAGCCGCGGUAAUACGUAGGGAGCGAGCGUUGUCCGGAAUUACUGGGCGUAAAGGGCGUGUAGGCGGGAAUUUAAGUAAGGUGUGAAAACUCCGGGCUCAACUUGGAGACUGCACUUUAAACUGGAUUUCUUGAGGGCAGGAGAGGAAAGUGGAAUUCCUAGUGUAGCGGUGAAAUGCGUAGAUAUUAGGAGGAACAUCAGUGGCGAAGGCGACUUUCUGGACUGCACCUGACGCUGAGGCGCGAAAGCAUGGGUAGCGAACAGGAUUAGAUACCCGCGUAGUC